RNAcentral lists this unclassified non-coding RNA (2935 nucleotides) under Anneissia japonica. Its description in RNAcentral is "spermatogenesis-associated protein 1-like, transcript variant X1". Lineage: Eukaryota; Metazoa; Echinodermata; Crinoidea; Comatulida; Comatulidae. The record is from RNAcentral.
UUUUGCUUUCCUAACGACACAAAACACCCGUCGGUCAGCAGCGUGUGUGUGGUAAACUUUCGAUCGUAUAGCUGUAGAAGUCAAUAGUAACUUGAUCGGAAGCAUGACAACUGCUAUUCUUGUGUAAGGAACUCUGGAUAUUAUACAAUGGAUUGUUUAUAGGAAUUAUUGUAACCAGUAUUAUGCCUUUAAUAUCAGCGGAACAGACACGUCCACCAUCAGAACAGUUGGUGGAUCUUCAUGUUUACCUUGUACCCACAUCAUCAUGGAAUGAACAAUAUCGCAGCGUCUUCAACCAAGCUGUCAACCAAACGAUCUCGGCAGGAUUUGUCAGAGCUCAUCCUGAGGAUCAUUUAUAUAAGUUACGAGAUGAUGUUGAGGAACAGCUUGGCUCCGAUAUUAUACCGGAAGAGUAUGUUUUCCUAAGAAGUGUAGGCAGGUGCUUAACUCAGGUGAAAGGCAAACAAGAGCUUAUUCUGAAGGUUAAGAACUUUCUACCCCCAUAUAACUUUAGUGCAGAGAUAUUUGUUUUAAAAAGUAAACGAGAACCAGUCCCUCUCCCAGAUAUUAACCGAAGUAAAGAACAUUUAUUAGAAAGAAAGUAUUCUCGUACAGAAGGAACUCAAACAACUCAAUCUACAAAUAGUGGUUACCAUAGUGAUGACUGGUCAGCCAAUCAUGUCAAACCAAAAUCAACAGAUUUCUCAAUGUCCAAUCAGCAUUCAGUUUCAGUAAAAUCACAGAAUAAAAAAACCAUCAAUCCAUCAAAAAAAAAUUCUGUUAGAAAAGGUCCAAAGGGAGUAAAUAGAAAAGGUAUAACAACCUUAGGUGGAAGAACACAACAAGGAGGGGUAAGAAUACAUCAGGGUGGGAAAAUUAGUGGGAAACAUUUCAGAGAAAUGACAAACAGGAGACCUGAGAACAGAGGACUAGCAACUGCAAGGAUUUUAGAGAAAGUAUCUCAGAAUUCCAAGGCUGGUUUUGAGAGGGAAAGUUCACCUAAUGUAGGGACUAGUAAGAUUGGUAGAGGGAAGUGUCAGGGGAUGUCAUCAAACAGAAAUAUGGACAAAAACUCUAGGCUGACUGAAGGAGAAUUGAGACUAGGAAUGAGCACUGAGGACAGAUCAGCCAGGGUAGCAGCAGGGAUAGAUAGACAGGCCAAUCAUGUUAGCUUAGAGACAGUGAAGAGGCGAAUGAUCCCCCAAACUAAAGAACAGCAUGGACACAUUGCACCUCACUCAUCGCACCAGCCAAGUAACCAAGGUGAUAACCUCUCCUCUAGCUCUCAUGAUACUCACUCCUCAUUUUCAUCCUCUGGUCAUCCACCCCUUCCACCUAUAGCUACCCAUCAAUACCCCACCCCUCCCCGCUCAGAUUCUCCCUCCCAUAAACAUAAAACAAAAUCUCAGCAGUAUGAUUUAGCCUCAAGAUCUCAGGAUUCUCUGCCCCGGUUUUUAAGCCCUGAACAAAAUGAUCACAUAUUUCCCACACAAGAUGUGGAAGAACAAUCACCACGGUCCCAGGCCCCCACUAAUAGUAAUCAGGAUUAUAGGCCCCCAUUAAGUGCAACUCCGCCUGAUUCUCCCUUAUAUAAUGUAGCCCCAACUCUUUUAACAAACAAAAUGGAAAUUCCAGAACCCAGGAAGGCUUUAGACAAGUCUGGCUGGAGGGAUACGUACACUAACGGAACAAAUGAAGACUCUGGAAUUGCUGAACCAACACCGGAGGAAGACCUAGGAUUCCACCAGCAACAUCAUAACUUACUAGAAAGUAGUGAGGUGAUAGACCAGCACUCAGAUAAUGGAAACAUGAUUGUUCUGCAUCACAACCAGGAAGAACCUCAUCGGACAGAGCAGAGGAGGCGUUUCCAUGACGACGAUAAUUCUUCCAAAGCCAUUGAAGAGAAAACUGUUCAUGAUUUCCAAAUGAAUUAUGAAAAAUUUUUGGAAGAUGAAGAGAAUAGGAAAGAACUUGAAAACCUUCAGCUGAUGAGGGAACAAAAUGCCCAGAAUGUUGCUGAUGUCCGAAGGAAGAAAGAAGAGAUGCAGCGAGCAAUGUCUCGCAGAGCACGAGAACUCGCAAGUCAGAAUUCUCACGAUACUAAGCAAUAUCAAGUUAAUGAGAUUGAACCCUAUGAGGGGAGUAGUUUUGCCAGCAAAGAAGUGUCACAGUAUGAAGACAUUACAGGUCAUGAUAACAUUGAGCCAGAACAUUUAAUGGAUGAGCAAAGAGAUUUGAACCAAGAAUCAUGGUCUGAUGGUCAGCCAUCAACAUUGACAGAAAAGGAAUUAUUACAAAAACUACGAAAAAAUGAAGCAGAAAAAAACAGGAUGGCUUUGGAAGCAAUACAAAUAGAAGAUUCUGCCAAGGAACACUCCUUCUUAAAGAAGGGUAAAAAAAAGGGAAUAUCAUCAGUAGUAGAAAAGCAGCACCAAGACACCCCAUCAUCAGCAGAAGCAUCAGCAGUGUCGUCAAGACCAGGCCAUCAAACUAAUCAGCCCAACAAGAACAAAGACUGUAACCAACUUCUAUUGGAUUUGGAAGAAAUGCGAGAACAAAGGCUUGCGAUUGAGCAGCGCAGGGAGGAUUUAGUAAGAAAGGCAAAAACACUGCAAAGCCGUACGCAGGAUAGGAGGAAUAAAGGUAAACCAUUACCCCUUUUGGAAGAGAAGCAAGGGAUUAUUGGAAAAAGCAAUACUUUGAAGAGAAGAAGUUGACAAAUCCUUUGGAGGACCACAUCAAUAAACUCCGGCAACAAGUAGAACAAGCACAUCGCAAACUGAUCACAAUGAUGGAAGGACGAAUGCAAGCAAAGAAAAUUCCACCAUCUCAAAAGAACAAUCACAAGAUUAACAUUGCUAAGAGUCAGCACGAUCUUGAGGAUUUAAGACGACGAGUUGAGAAUGCCAAGAUGAGACUUACGUCAGAAAUGAAG